This is a long non-coding RNA of Amphiprion ocellaris (clown anemonefish), 532 nucleotides long. The record is from Ensembl. NCBI's taxonomy places the organism in Eukaryota, Metazoa, Chordata, Actinopteri, Pomacentridae.
CUGCAAAAGAGAGGGAGACGGUGUGGGAGAACAUUGCUGCCCUGUCAAUGCAUUCUGAUGGUGUUAUCUGCCUGGUGGAGCCCCUUCACACCACAACAGACCUUGUAACUGAUGAAGAGGAUGAAACUGUGUCUGCUGCCUUUACAGAGGGGGAUCCAGAAAGGCAUACAGAGAGCAUGGCUGGACAGCAGCAGGAUGCUUCCUCAACUUCCACUGCACAGAUUGACUCAGUGAGAUGGAUGUUCAGUAAACACCAGAGGUUCAGUCCAUGGAAUUCAUGUGCAACUGUAUCAUUUAAUGUCCUUUGUGUAUUCCCAGUUAUCAGUAAAACAGAUUUACAAAAUGCACUUGCUGGGAAAAAUCCAGAAAACAGAUAAAGAAAUGCAGUACUUGGACCACCAGAUUAAGAAGGCAGAUCUGGAAAUUGAAAUACUGGAGCACAAGUUAGAGGUGGAUGCAGGUCACAGGUGAAUUAUGUUAACUACUGGAACAUUAACUAAACUAGCUCUUUUAUUUGUAGGAAAUAAAGAAG